UAGUCNCGCUGUAAACGAUGAAUGUUAAAUAUGGGAAGUUUACUUUCUGUAUUAUAGCUAACGCGUUAAACAUUCCGCCUGGGGACUACGGUCGCAAGAUUAAAACUCAAAGGAAUUGACGGGGACCCGCACAAGCGGUGGAGCAUGUGGUUUAAUUCGAUGCAACGCGAAAANCCUUACCACUCCUUGACAUGGAAAUUAUACCUAUUUGAAGGGAUAGGGUCGGUUCGGCCGGAUUUCACACAGGUGUUGCAUGGCUGUCGUCAGCUCGUGUCGUGAGAUGUUGGGUUAAGUCCCGCAACGAGCGCAACCCUCAUCCUUAGUUACCAUCAGGUAAUGCUGGGGACUUUAAGGAAACUGCCAGUGAUAAACUGGAGGAAGGUGGGGAUGAUGUCAAGUCAUCAUGGCCCUUAUGGAGUGGGCUACACACGUGCUACAAUGGUGGCUACAAUGGGCUGCAAAGUCGCGAGGCUAAGCUAAUCCCUUAAAAGCCAUCUCAGUUCGGAUUGUACUCUGCAACUCGAGUGCAUGAAGUUGGAAUCGCUAGUAAUCGUGGAUCAGCACGCCACGGUGAAUACGUUCUCGGGUCUUGUACACACUGCCCGNCA
This 608-nucleotide ribosomal RNA is filed under the name uncultured Hyphomicrobiales bacterium. Its description in RNAcentral is "bacterial SSU rRNA". It matches the Rfam family "Bacterial small subunit ribosomal RNA", at positions 791 to 1399 of the family's 1533-position model. The record is from RNAcentral. Lineage: Bacteria; Pseudomonadati; Pseudomonadota; Alphaproteobacteria; Hyphomicrobiales.